Molecule: ribosomal RNA, 489 nt
Filed under: uncultured bacterium
Lineage: Bacteria
Description: bacterial SSU rRNA
Rfam family: Bacterial small subunit ribosomal RNA
Source: RNAcentral
CACAUGCAAGUCGAACGGGGAUUUGUUUCGGCAGAAUCCUAGUGGCGAACGGGUGAGUAACGCGUAGGCAACCUGCCCCCCGGAUUGGGACAACACCCCGAAAGGGGUGCUAAUACCGGAUACGAAGACAGCAUCGCAUGGUGGUGUUUUGAAAGAUGGCCUCUAUUUAUAAGCUAUCGCCGGGGGAUGGGCCUGCGUCCGAUUAGCUGGUUGGUGGGGUAACGGCCCACCAAGGCGACGAUCGGUAGCCGGUCUGAGAGGAUGAACGGCCACAUUGGGACUGAGACACGGCCCAGACUCCUACGGGAGGCAGCAGUGGGGAAUCUUCCGCAAUGGGCGCAAGCCUGACGGAGCAACGCCCGCGUGGGUGAGGAAGUCCUUCGGGACGUAAAGCCCUGUUGUUUAUGACGAACGGUCCCUCUAUCAACAACGGAGGGGAAUGACGGUAAUAGACGAGGAAGCCACGGCUAACUACGUGCCAGCCGCCGC